Molecule: long non-coding RNA, 228 nt
Filed under: Elaeis guineensis (African oil palm)
Lineage: Eukaryota; Viridiplantae; Streptophyta; Magnoliopsida; Arecales; Arecaceae
Description: long non-coding RNA (EGUI_LNC082236)
Source: RNAcentral
GGACUCGUUGGACUCUAUUUAUCAUCGCGGACCUCGUUGUGGGCUCAAUAUGAAUCGAAUCUUGAAGUAUAAAAUUAUAACAAUCUCUAUUUCGACUAGACAUUCGGCCUCCUCCUAACUUUAAGAGUUUUUGGAUCUCUUCGCCUCCAUGUCCUGGGGCAAUCACCUGCUGAUCAUGGAUGGACAAACACAGAAGUCGAGCCAGGCCGUUCGAUCCCAUCUCUAUUG